Acanthaster planci (crown-of-thorns starfish) is the source of this 2156-nucleotide long non-coding RNA. Lineage: Eukaryota; Metazoa; Echinodermata; Asteroidea; Valvatida; Acanthasteridae. The record is from RefSeq and is a predicted model, not a curated record.
UUAAUACCGCGGCGACCGGCCGACCUGCAACGUCAUCACUACCGUACCGAAAGGCAACGCCUGCUCGGAGCCCUAAUGCCGUCAUGAUUUUUGAUUUUCCCCCGAUUGAAUUCAGUACAAACUUUAUCAAAUAUGUCGCCACGCACCAUAGCUGAUUGCUGGUAAUGUUGCACAUCAGUACUUAUGUUGCUGGUUUCUGGGCUCCACCGUGACCCACCACAGCACCGUCUAAGCGAACAAAGGGAUUCAAGCGUGGGUCACUGUUAGCUGCCUAUUACGUGGGAGAUCAAGUUCACUGUGAAAACUGACGGGAUGGUUUCCGCAGCCAUGGACAAAUUGAAAAAUGCUCGUCUCUUCGAUUUGAAACUGAAUCCUGCAGUAUGCUGAGGAUUUUUGUCAAGGUAUGAACAGAAUGUGGUAUCGUUAAAGAGCUACAUCGCAAGGACAUUUCAACGCAUCACACCGCUUUGUUCUGUGCAGCCGGGCCGCAUCGACGGGACCAUUUUUUUGUGGUUUCCCCCGCAGCUCGAAGUGACGGUUCCGCUUGCUUCACAGCUUCCGGGUAUUACCGACGUUUCAUCAAAACACUGUCGUGCAAUAUUGAUCACUCAAUGGCGUCAGACACAACAGACAUUAGCCGGGAAUCUGCUGAACUUUUGGACAUCAAAUGGCAGGACAAGACCAGCAAGAAGCACCCGUAUUCUUGUGGUUUUUCCGGCAGUCGUCUGCGCCUCGUCGAGUUCUCUGAGAAACACGACUACUGCUCCAUUCAAUUUCAAACAGAAUCUUUGAAGCCCGUGUGGAUUGGAAGUCAGUUACAGAGACCGUCACAUGCUGUUUUAACUGGAAGUAUCCUCCAGUAUCACCAAAUGGCCGACACUAAAACCCAGUGACAAUCUCUUAAAACAACAACUAAGUAAACUUUUCAAAGCAGCCCAAAGGAAACCUUUUGCUCCCUCUCAACUUAAUUGUCGCUUUUGUCCACAUUUUUGCUUGAAACGUUGGAUCAAAAUAUGUAGGAGAAACUCUUCACUCUCUGAUCAGUUUGCAUGCCCUAAGUUGAAGGAGUAGCAAAGGUCACUAGAAAUUAUCCAGUUUGAAGAUGAUGGAUUUUUUCUCUGAUAUCUCAGUUCUGAACAGAAAAAAGAGAAAGAAACCAGAGUGGGGUCUUUUCUGUCGGUUUCACUGGACACGCGCAGGACACGCGCCAAUGUCUGGCCAGCUGUUACCGCAGUUAAUCCCCCAUAGCCUUUGCCUUGGAGACUGCACCGUUCACCCUUCUGAUAGUAUUGUAUGUAUUCUGGACGAAGUAACCUCGCAUAAAUCAUGCAGUUAAUUAGCCAUUAGACUCCCCGGGCCAUGCAUAGUACAGACGAUAUGAUUGAUCAUCUGCUGCGGCCAUUUGUUCACAGCUGAUAUAUCAGAGAAUUCCAGUGUGAACUUGGCCAUUAUUUUGGAGUGGGCGAAGAUAUAUUUUUUGUAGGAAACGCUUUCGUUGGACUCUGGUUCCGUUGUGAAUACUUGGCCAGGUCGCAUUUGAUUUUCAACAAGUUCAUUUUUUUCUAAAUGACCUACUUGAAUAUUAUGACAAGCUUGAAAUUUAAAGCAGAUUUAAAGCAGACUCAUGGAUCAUUACACUGGCAACGCGUGGGGACUUAUUGGUAAGGUUGGCAUGCUGUGAUGGUAAGGGCUGUGAUUUUCUGGGCCUGUCUAUGGUUGUUAGGCAUUUAGAGCAAAACAUUGUAUUUUCUUUAAGGUGAAUUUCUGUUUGCAACCCUUGUUCUUUGGCACCUGCUUCCAAGACGCAUCUAACAGUUUGAGUUGAUGGACCUUCUUGCUUCUUAUGGACGAGCGCUUGCUGUGCGGCAGUUGUGCACUAAGCGAAUAGCAUGUAGGUUGUACUUAUUGGAGUAACCCUAGAUAUCGUAGAACAAACAAUUUUAUUGAGCAUGCUCUGUGUUUCCCGGUUUACAAAAUGGAGAAUGGAAAUGUUGCGGUUUUGGACAUAUUUCGGGAAAGUUUUUCCCCCAAAACUGCUAUUUUCACAACCAAGAAGCACAGAAUGUGUGUGACAUGAUGCUGGGACAGGCUGAGGGAACUUGGUGGUGGUGGUGGUGGGUGGAGGUUACUGAAGUGAAGACAGUAGAAGACAUCCA